UCACACCUUACGGUGGCAGUCUCACUAGAGUCCUCAGCUUAACCUGUUAGUAACUAAUGAUAGGGGUUGCGCUCGUUAUGGCACUUAAGCCGACACCUCACGGCACGAGCUGACGACAACCAUGCAGCACCUACACAGACGCCAUUGCUGGAAAAUCAGUUUCCUGAUCGGUCGUCUGCAUUUCAAGCCCGGGUAAGGUUCCUCGCGUAUCAUCGAAUUAAACCACAUGUUCCUCCGCUUGUGCGGGCCCCCGUCAAUUCCUUUGAGUUUCAUUCUUGCGAACGUACUCCCCAGGUGGAAUACUUAACGCGUUAGCUGCGGCUCUGGACCGUUGACGGGCCCAAAACCUAGUAUUCAUCGUUUAUGGCAUGGACUAC
This 377-nucleotide unclassified non-coding RNA is filed under the name uncultured Paludibacteraceae bacterium. Its description in RNAcentral is "contains 16S-23S intergenic spacer region". Lineage: Bacteria; Pseudomonadati; Bacteroidota; Bacteroidia; Bacteroidales; Paludibacteraceae. The record is from RNAcentral.